UGGGGCAGCUGGACGAUCGCGUGUUGUGCGAACAACCCGAGGAACGUCCGGGCUCCGUAGAGCAAGGUGGUGGGUAACGCCCACUCGGGGCAACCCGCAGGCCAGUGCCACAGAAAACAGACCGCCUCUGCUUGCAGAGGUAAGGGUGAAACGGCGGUGUAAGAGACCACCGCUUUCCAGGUGACUGGAAAGGCAAGGUAACCCCCACAUGGAGCAAGGCCAGACAG
RNAcentral lists this RNase P RNA (227 nucleotides) under Renibacterium salmoninarum. RNAcentral's name for it is "partial RNase P RNA component class A". It matches the Rfam family "Bacterial RNase P class A", at positions 1 to 235 of the family's 367-position model. Rfam says of the family: Ribonuclease P (RNase P) is a ubiquitous endoribonuclease, found in archaea, bacteria and eukarya as well as chloroplasts and mitochondria. Its best characterised activity is the generation of mature 5'-ends of tRNAs by cleaving the 5'-leader elements of precursor-tRNAs. Cellular RNase Ps are ribonucleoproteins. The record is from RNAcentral. Lineage: Bacteria; Bacillati; Actinomycetota; Actinomycetes; Micrococcales; Micrococcaceae.